AGAGUUUGAUCCUGGCUCAGGAUAAACGCUGGCGGCGUGCUUAAUACAUGCAAGUCGAACGAACAAGUCCUAGAGUGCUUGCACUCUAUGAUGCGUUAGUGGCGAACGGGUGAGUAAUACAUAAGAAACCUGCCCAUACGACUGGGAUAACGUUUGGAAACGAACGCUAAUACCGGAUAGGUAAUCGGAAGGCAUCUUCUGAUUAUUAAAGUUGAGAUACACGUUUGGAUGGUCUUAUGGCGCAUUAGCUAGUUGGUGAGGUAACGGCCCACCAAGGCGAUGAUGCGUAGCCGAACUGAGAGGUUGAACGGCCACAUUGGGACUGAGACACGGCCCAGACUCCUACGGGAGGCAGCAGUAAGGAAUUUUCGGCAAUGAGCGAAAGCUUGACCGAGCAACGCCGCGUGAGUGAUGAAGGUCCUCUGGAUUGUAAAACUCUGUUAUAUGGGAAGAAAAUGCGAAGAGUACUUCGUACUGACGGUACCAUGUCAGAAAGCCACGGCUAACUACGUGCCAGCAGCCGCGGUAAUACGUAGGUGGCAAGCGUUAUCCGGAUUUAUUGGGCGUAAAGGGUGCGCAGUCGGCAUAUUAAGUCUGAGUUGAAAGUGCGGAGCUUAACUCCGUAUUGGCUUGGAAACUGGUAAGCUAGAGUGCAGAAGAGGAUAGCGGAACUCCGUGUGUAGCGGUAAAAUGCUUAGAUAUAUGGAAGAACACCGGUGGCGAAGGCGGCUAUCUGGUCUGUAACUGACGAUGAGGCACGAAAGCGUGGGGAGCAAAUAGGAUUAGAUACCCUAGUAGUCCACGCUGUAAACGAUGAUUACUAGGUGUUGGGGCAACUCAGCGCCGCAGCUAACGCAAUAAGUAAUCCGCCUGGGGAGUAUGUACGCAAGUAUGAAACUCAAAGGAAUUGACGGGGGCCCGCACAAGCGGUGGAUUAUGUGGUUUAAUUCGAUGCAACGCGAAGAACCUUACCAAGUCUUGACAUCCCUGGCAAAGCUAUAGAGAUAUAGUGGAGGUUAUCCGGGUGACAGGUGGUGCAUGGUUGUCGUCAGCUCGUGUCGUGAGAUGUUGGGUUAAGUCCCGCAACGAGCGCAACUCUUGUCUUUAGUAGCCAGCAGUUCGGCUGGGCACUCUAGAGAGACUGCCAGGGAUAACCUGGAGGAAGGUGGGGAUGACGUCAAAUCAUCAUGCCCCUUAUGAUUUGGGCUACACACGUGCUACAAUGGCGUAAACAAAGGGAAGCAACCCUGUGAAGGCAAGCAAAUCCCAAAAAUAACGUCUCAGUUCGGAUUGUAGUCUGCAACUCGACUACAUGAAGCUGGAAUCGCUAGUAAUCGCGAAUCAGAAUGUCGCGGUGAAUACGUUCCCGGGUCUUGCACACACCGCCCGUCA
Molecule: ribosomal RNA, 1392 nt
Filed under: uncultured bacterium
Lineage: Bacteria
Description: bacterial SSU rRNA
Rfam family: Bacterial small subunit ribosomal RNA
Source: RNAcentral